GUUGAUUUAACGUCUGAUUCGACUCCAAACAAGAUCAUCUUCAUCCUCAACAUUGCAAAGAUUUGCCUGCUGAUCAUCCUGGUUGUUAUUGUUACUACUGUUCAGAUUAAAUACAGGAGGAGGACUGGAGCAGCAGAAGAUGCUCAAGAUCAAGAUUGUGUUCCUGAUGAGCAGGACAGCAGAGUGAUCUAUGAAAAUGUAGAGAAUCACCAAGGCCCUGCCCAGCACCACGGUCAGAAAAAAAGAGGAGGAAGAGGAAGAAGAAGUGAUGUCUUCAACAGUCAAAGAAGCAGUGAAGAAGAUAGUGUGUGAGGAGAGGACAGAGGAAUUUUACACCAGCUUUAACUGUACAUGAAAAGAAGCUGUAGCAGUAACACGCCUCCACUGAUGUGUGUGCAUUUCAUAAGUUCUUUUUACGCAGUGACUCUUCUUUUUGUGGCUCAUUUUUUUACAGUUUGAAAAGAGCUGAUCCACCAAACCAAAGUGUAACAAUGUGGAAACGUCAAAGCGAGAAGCAGACGCCUCUGAUGUAGACUGGCAGUUGUCAGUCGAAACAUGUCAGGAGAUCAAAGUGGAUUUAUUAAAGAACAGUUGCUUGAAAAAAAGAAACCAUAACAUAACAUUAUCAUCAGAAGUUUGAAAAGAACAUCAAGAUCUUUUGUCGGCUGUCAAUGUUUAUUUUCAGGGAUUUUUCUUUGUCUAAUUACAACUUUAUUCUAAUAAUAUUAAAUAGUUUUUUCUCAUAAUAGAAUAAGUUUACUUUUGUAAUAUUACGACUUAAUGACUGUUAAAAAUGUCUUAUACUAAUACAACUUUACUCUUAAAGUCUAUAAAAACGAUGCUCACACUGAUCUUCUUUCUUCAUCUCUGACCCAAGAUAAGCUGUAAAUAUGUCUAAAUUUACUUUCUAUUAUCAGCUUCUAUUUUUCUCACUGUCUUCUUCUUUUCUGUUUGUUCCUGCUAGAAAAUUUCCACUUCACAUUGUUUGCUUUCAUCUCUGUAAUUAUCUCUGCAAAGAGUGAGAGUCACAUUGUGAAAAAAACAAAAUAAAACAAAAAAACACCACA
RNAcentral lists this long non-coding RNA (1067 nucleotides) under Gouania willdenowi (blunt-snouted clingfish). Its description in RNAcentral is "lncRNA (ENSGWIG00000005596.1)". The record is from RNAcentral. Lineage: Eukaryota; Metazoa; Chordata; Actinopteri; Blenniiformes; Gobiesocidae.